RNAcentral lists this ribosomal RNA (1369 nucleotides) under uncultured bacterium. RNAcentral's name for it is "bacterial SSU rRNA". It matches the Rfam family "Bacterial small subunit ribosomal RNA", at positions 28 to 1381 of the family's 1533-position model. The record is from RNAcentral.
GACGAACGCUGGCGGCGUGCCUAAUACAUGCAAGUAGAACGCUGAAGAGAGGAGCUUGCUCUUCUUGGAUGAGUUGCGAACGGGUGAGUAACGCGUAGGUAACCUGCCUGGUAGCGGGGGAUAACUAUUGGAAACGAUAGCUAAUACCGCAUAAAAUUGAUUAUUGCAUGAUAAUUAAUUGAAAGAUGCAAUUGCAUCACUACCAGAUGGACCUGCGUUGUAUUAGCUAGUUGGUGAGGUAACGGCUCACCAAGGCGACGAUACAUAGCCGACCUGAGAGGGUGAUCGGCCACACUGGGACUGAGACGCGGCCCAGACUCCUACGGGAGGCAGCAGUAGGGAAUCUUCGGCAAUGGGGGGAACCCUGACCGAGCAACGCCGCGUGAGUGAAGAAGGUUUUCGGAUCGUAAAGCUCUGUUGUAAGAGAAGAACGGGUGUGAGAGUGGAAAGUUCACACUGUGACGGUAUCUUACCAGAAAGGGACGGCUAACUACGUGCCAGCAGCCGCGGUAAUACGUAGGUCCCGAGCGUUGUCCGGAUUUAUUGGGCGUAAAGCGAGCGCAGGCGGUUAGAUAAGUCUGAAGUUAAAGGCUGUGGCUUAACCAUAGUAUGCUUUGGAAACUGUUUAACUUGAGUGCAGAAGGGGAGAGUGGAAUUCCAUGUGUAGCGGUGAAAUGCGUAGAUAUAUGGAGGAACACCGGUGGCGAAAGCGGCUCUCUGGUCUGUAACUGACGCUGAGGCUCGAAAGCGUGGGGAGCAAACAGGAUUAGAUACCCUGGUAGUCCACGCCGUAAACGAUGAGUGCUAGGUGUUAGGCCCUUUCCGGGGCUUAGUGCCGCAGCUAACGCAUUAAGCACUCCGCCUGGGGAGUACGACCGCAGGGUUGAAACUCAAAGGAAUUGACGGGGGCCCGCACAAGCGGUGGAGCAUGUGGUUUAAUUCGAAGCAACGCGAAGAACCUUACCAGGUCUUGACAUCCCUCUGACCGCUCUAGAGAUAGAGUUUUCCUUCGGGACAGAGGUGACAGGUGGUGCAUGGUUGUCGUCAGCUCGUGUCGUGAGAUGUUGGGUUAAGUCCCGCAACGAGCGCAACCCCUAUUGUUAGUUGCCAUCAUUGAGUUGGGCACUCUAGCGAGACUGCCGGUAAUAAACCGGAGGAAGGUGGGGAUGACGUCAAAUCAUCAUGCCCCUUAUGACCUGGGCUACACACGUGCUACAAUGGCUGGUACAACGAGUCGCAAGCCGGUGACGGCAAGCUAAUCUCUGAAAGCCAGUCUCAGUUCGGAUUGUAGGCUGCAACUCGCCUACAUGAAGUCGGAAUCGCUAGUAAUCGCGGAUCAGCACGCCGCGGUGAAUACGUUCCCGGGCCU